GCGGAUGUGGCGGAACUGGCAGACGCGCUGGAUUUAGGAUCCAGUGCCGCAAGGCGUAUGGGUUCGAGCCCCUUCAUCCGCACCA
Molecule: transfer RNA, 85 nt
Filed under: Mitsuokella multacida
Lineage: Bacteria; Bacillati; Bacillota; Negativicutes; Selenomonadales; Selenomonadaceae
Also listed under: 3 other names
Description: tRNA-Leu
Rfam family: tRNA
About the family: Transfer RNA (tRNA) molecules are approximately 80 nucleotides in length. Their secondary structure includes four short double-helical elements and three loops (D, anti-codon, and T loops). Further hydrogen bonds mediate the characteristic L-shaped molecular structure. tRNAs have two regions of fundamental functional importance: the anti-codon, which is responsible for specific mRNA codon recognition, and the 3' end, to which the tRNAs corresponding amino acid is attached (by aminoacyl-tRNA synthetases). tRNAs cope with the degeneracy of the genetic code in two manners: having more than one tRNA (with a specific anti-codon) for a particular amino acid; and 'wobble' base-pairing, i.e. permitting non-standard base-pairing at the 3rd anti-codon position.
Source: RNAcentral